GACGAACGCUGGCGGCGUGCUUAACACAUGCAAGUCGAACGGUGAAGCACCUUCCUUUUUGGUGGGUGUGGAUGAGUGGCGAACGGGUGAGUAACACGUGAGUAACCUGCCCCCUUCUUCUGGAUAACCGCAUGAAAGUGUGGCUAAUACGGGAUAUUCUGGGUCUGUCGCAUGAUGGGUCUGGGAAAGAUAUUGUUUCGGUGGGGGAUGGGCUCGCGGCCUAUCAGCUUGUUGGUGGGGUGAUGGCCUACCAAGGCGGUGACGGGUAGCCGGCCUGAGAGGGUGGACGGUCACACGGGGACUGAGACACGGCCCAGACUGCUACGAGAGGCAGCAGUGGGGACUAUUGCACAAUGGGCGCAAGCCUGAUGCAGCGACGCCGCGUGAGGGAUGGAGGCCUUCGGGUUGUGAACCUCUUUCGCCAGUGAAGCAGGCCUGCCUCGUUUGUGGGUGGGUUGACGGUAGCUGGAUAAGAAGCGCCGGCUAACUACGUG
RNAcentral lists this ribosomal RNA (494 nucleotides) under uncultured bacterium. Its description in RNAcentral is "partial 16S ribosomal RNA". It matches the Rfam family "Bacterial small subunit ribosomal RNA", at positions 28 to 507 of the family's 1533-position model. The record is from RNAcentral.